UUUUUAAUCCAUAUCCACCUUGUGUGCAAUGUCAGUCGAUCUUCUUCAUGGAGAUCGACCAAACAUCAACCUUUAUUUUUUAACUCUUUGUCUGAAAAAUAUUAUGAAUAAACAAUUCAAAAUACAACUUUCAACAACGGAUCUCUUGGCUCUCGCAUCGAUGAAGAACGCAGCGAAAUGCGAUACGUAAUGUGAAUUGCAGAAUUCAGUGAAUCAUCGAAUCUUUGAACGCAUAUUGCGCUCUUUGGUAUUCCGAAGAGCAUGCUUGUUUGAGUAUCAGUAAACACCUCAAAGCUUUUGGAUUUUUUAAUCGAAAAGCUUUGGACUUGAGCAAUCCCAACACCAAUCUUUUUGAGAUCGGUGGCGGGUUGCUUGAAAUGCAGGUGCAGCUGGACAUUCUCCUGAGCUAAAAGCAUAUUCAUUUAGUCCCGUCAAACGGAUUAUUACUUUUGCUGCAGCUAACAUAAAGGGAGUUUGACCGUAUUGGCUGACUGAUGCAGGAUUUCACAAGGGUCGGCAACGAUUCUUGUUAAACUCGAUCUCAAAUCAAGUAAGACUACCCGCUGAACUUAAGCAUAUCAUAACCCCGAAGAAAAAAAAAA
Molecule: ribosomal RNA, 602 nt
Filed under: Mortierella sp. CFR-GV20
Lineage: Eukaryota; Fungi; Mortierellomycota; Mortierellomycetes; Mortierellales; Mortierellaceae
Description: eukaryotic LSU rRNA
Rfam family: 5.8S ribosomal RNA (bases 126-279)
Source: RNAcentral